RNAcentral lists this ribosomal RNA (253 nucleotides) under uncultured bacterium. Its description in RNAcentral is "partial 16S ribosomal RNA". It matches the Rfam family "Bacterial small subunit ribosomal RNA", at positions 524 to 776 of the family's 1533-position model. The record is from RNAcentral.
UACAGAGGGGGCAAGCGUUAUUCGGAAUUAUUGGGCGUAAAGGGCGCGUAGGCGGCUUGGCAAGUGGAAGGUGAAAUCCCUCGGCUCAACCGAGGAACUGCCCUCCAAACUGCCUGGCUUGAGACCGGGAGAGGUGAGUGGAAUUCCCAGUGUAGCGGUGAAAUGCGUAGAUAUUGGGAGGAACACCAGUGGCGAAGGCGGCUCACUGGACCGGUACUGACGCUGAUGCGCGAAAGCGUGGGGAGCAAACGGG